CUGCGUGGAUAAUAGCAAACGGUAGAGGUCCUUCGCGUUCCGUUUGUUCCGAGCUCCGUUGUACGUAACCACCGACACUUGUAUGGACUUGGAAUUGCAAGACUUGAACUCGAAAGCGGGUGGGUGGUGGGGAGACUGUAACGCCCUGCGUUUUCAAACUUCCUACAUUUAGAAACCUUACGUGAAAUUCUAUCUUUGGAAAUCUUGUGU
Molecule: long non-coding RNA, 210 nt
Filed under: Helianthus annuus (common sunflower)
Lineage: Eukaryota; Viridiplantae; Streptophyta; Magnoliopsida; Asterales; Asteraceae
Description: hypothetical non coding rna
Source: RNAcentral